RNAcentral lists this small nuclear RNA (144 nucleotides) under Rhodnius prolixus. Its description in RNAcentral is "U4 spliceosomal RNA". It matches the Rfam family "U4 spliceosomal RNA". Rfam says of the family: U4 small nuclear RNA (U4 snRNA) is a component of the major U2-dependent spliceosome. The structure of U4 snRNA from yeast and human has been reported. U4 snRNA presents a k-turn RNA motif in the 5p-SL related to recognition of Snu13 protein. Lineage: Eukaryota; Metazoa; Arthropoda; Insecta; Hemiptera; Reduviidae. The record is from Rfam by way of RNAcentral.
GUCCUUGCGCAGUGGCAAUAUCGUAACCAAUGAAGGCCUACUGAGGUGCGAUUAAUGCUAGUUGAAAACUUUUACCAAAAAAAUCGCAUAAAUCUUAAUAAAAUUAAAUUUCGAUUAAGAAUUUUCUUAAUUUUAGAGGAUUAA